AUUGAACGCUGGCGGCAGGCCUAACACAUGCAAGUCGAAAGAGUGGCGGACGGGUGAGUAAUGUCUGGGAAACUGCCUGAUGGAGGGGGAUAACUACUGGAAACGGUAGCUAAUACCGCAUACCAUCGGAUGUGCCCAGAUGGGAUUAGCUAGUAGGUGGGGUAAAGGCUCACCUAGGCGACGAUCCCUAGCUGGUCUGAGAGGAUUGACAGCCAAACUGGAACGUGGACCAGGGCCAGGAUCCUACGGGAGGGAGGAGGGGGGAAAAUUGAAACAAGGGCGCAAGCCUGAUGCAGCCAUGCCGCGUGUAUGAAGAAGGCCUUCGGGUUGUAAAGUACUUUCAGCGGGGAGGCGUUACCCGCAGAAGAAGCACCGGCUAACUCCGUGCCAGCAGCCGCGGUAAUUC
This 406-nucleotide ribosomal RNA is filed under the name uncultured bacterium. RNAcentral describes it as "partial 16S ribosomal RNA". It matches the Rfam family "Bacterial small subunit ribosomal RNA", at positions 29 to 526 of the family's 1533-position model. The record is from RNAcentral.